RNAcentral lists this ribosomal RNA (587 nucleotides) under uncultured bacterium. RNAcentral describes it as "bacterial SSU rRNA". It matches the Rfam family "Bacterial small subunit ribosomal RNA", at positions 338 to 916 of the family's 1533-position model. The record is from RNAcentral.
CCUACGGGAGGCAGCAGUGGGGAAUUUUGGACAAUGGGCGCAAGCCUGAUCCAGCCAUGCCGCGUGAGUGAAGAAGGCCUUCGGGUUGUAAAGCUCUUUCGGCAGGAACGAAAUGGUUCGUGCUAAUACCACGGACUGAUGACGGUACCUGAAGAAGAAGCACCGGCUAACUACGUGCCAGCAGCCGCGGUAAUACGUAGGGUGCAGGCGUUAAUCGGAAUUACUGGGCGUAAAGCGUGCGCAGGCGGUUUCUUAAGUCAGAUGUGAAAGCCCCGGGCUUAACCUGGGAACUGCGUUUGAAACUGGGAGACUUGAGUGUGGCAGAGGGGGGUGGAAUUCCACGUGUAGCAGUGAAAUGCGUAGAUAUGUGGAGGAACACCGAUGGCGAAGGCAGCCCCCUGGGCUAACACUGACGCUCAUGCACGAAAGCGUGGGGAGCAAACAGGAUUAGAUACCCUGGUAGUCCACGCCCUAAACUAUGUCAACUGGUUGUCGGGAGAUUAACUCUCUUGGUAACGAAGCUAACGCGUGAAGUUGACCGCCUGGGGAGUACGGCCGCAAAGGUUAAAACNCAAAGGAAUUGACGG